GACCCCGUAGCUCAACUGGAUAGAGCAUCCGCCUUCUAAGCGGACGGUUGCGUGUUCGAGUCACGCCGGGGUCGCCA
Molecule: transfer RNA, 77 nt
Filed under: Proteobacteria bacterium HN_bin10
Lineage: Bacteria; Pseudomonadati; Pseudomonadota
Also listed under: 3 other names
Description: tRNA-Arg
Rfam family: tRNA
About the family: Transfer RNA (tRNA) molecules are approximately 80 nucleotides in length. Their secondary structure includes four short double-helical elements and three loops (D, anti-codon, and T loops). Further hydrogen bonds mediate the characteristic L-shaped molecular structure. tRNAs have two regions of fundamental functional importance: the anti-codon, which is responsible for specific mRNA codon recognition, and the 3' end, to which the tRNAs corresponding amino acid is attached (by aminoacyl-tRNA synthetases). tRNAs cope with the degeneracy of the genetic code in two manners: having more than one tRNA (with a specific anti-codon) for a particular amino acid; and 'wobble' base-pairing, i.e. permitting non-standard base-pairing at the 3rd anti-codon position.
Source: RNAcentral